AAACUGUUUGAACUCGGGCAAGUGCUCUGGGGGCGAUUGCUUAUUAAUGACUGCAGCAAGUGGUAAACAAAGGAUAGCUGGAGGCUUGUUACUUCAUCGAGACCUGUAUUCGUUUCCCGUGGCUGCCAUAAAAAUUGCCAACGAACUUGGGGCUUAAAACACUAGAAAUGUGAACGGUGUGGACAUGAAGCUGCCCGUGGUGCUGGCCAACGCCAGAUCCCGUGCCUCCCAGCAUGGUUCAGAUGUUGUGAUUGAGACUGACUUUGGCCUGCGUGUGGCCUACGACCUUCUGUAUAUGUGCGGGUCACCGUCCCGGAAACUAACUACCAGCAGAUGUGUGGCCUGUGUGGGAACUACAAACGGCAACCCAAGGAUGACUUCCAGAAGCCCAAUGGCUCCCAGGCAAGGCAACGCCAAUGAGUUUGGCAACUCCUGGGAGGAGGUGGUGCCCGACUCUCCCUGCCUGCCGCCGCCCACCUGCCCGCCGGG
This 489-nucleotide small RNA is filed under the name Pan troglodytes (chimpanzee). RNAcentral's name for it is "processed transcript". The record is from RNAcentral. Lineage: Eukaryota; Metazoa; Chordata; Mammalia; Primates; Hominidae.